AAGGGGGAAAAGAAACCAACAGGGAUUGCCCUAGUAACGGCGAGUGAAGCGGCAACAGCUCAAAUUUGAAAGCUAGCCUUCGGGUUCGCAUUGUAAUUUGUAGAGGAUGAUUUGGGGAAGCCGCCUGUCUAAGUUCCUUGGAACAGGACGUCAUAGAGGGUGAGAAUCCCGUAUGUGACAGGAAAUGGCACCCUAUGUAAAUCUCCUUCGACGAGUCGAGUUGUUUGGGAAUGCAGCUCUAAAUGGGAGGUAAAUUUCUUCUAAAGCUAAAUAUUGGCGAGAGACCGAUAGCGCACAAGUAGAGUGAUCGAAAGAUGAAAAGCACUUUGGAAAGAGAGUUAAAAAGCACGUGAAAUUGUUGAAAGGGAAGCGCUUGCAAUCAGACUUGUUUAAACUGUUCGGCCGGUCUUCUGACCGGUUUACUCAGUUUGGACAGGCCAGCAUCAGUUUCGGCGGCCGGAUAAAGGCUCUGGGAAUGUGGCCUCCACUUCGGUGGAGGUGUUAUAGCCCAGGGUGUAAUACGGCCAGCCGGGACUGAGGUCCGCGCUUCGGCUAGGAUGCUGGCGUAAUGGUUGUAAGCGACCCGUCAAAAA
Molecule: ribosomal RNA, 593 nt
Filed under: Aureobasidium pullulans
Lineage: Eukaryota; Fungi; Ascomycota; Dothideomycetes; Dothideales; Saccotheciaceae
Description: partial large subunit ribosomal RNA
Rfam family: Eukaryotic large subunit ribosomal RNA
Source: RNAcentral